GAUGAACGCUGGCGGCGUGCCUAAUACAUGCAAGUCGAACGAAACUUCUUUAUCACCAAGUGCUUGCACUCACCGAUAAAGAGUUGAGUGGCGAACGGGUUAACAACACGUCAGCCACCCGCCCACAGGAGGGGGAUAACAGUUGACAACAGGUGCUACUACCGCAUAACCAUAAUUACCACAUGGUAACGAUGUAAGAUGUAGCUGUACUACCGCGUUUCGAUGGUGACUCGGCACAUUAGCAAGUUAGUGGGCUAAAAGCUUACGAAAGCAAUCAUGCGUACAGGAAUUGAGAGGUUGAACGGCCACAUUGGCAGUGAGACACGGCCGCAACACCGACGGGAGGCAGCAGUAGAGAAUCUUCCACGAAGGGGGAAAGGGUGAUGGAGCAACGCCGCGUGAGUGAAGAAGGUCUUCGGAUCGGAAAACGCUGUUGUUAGUGAUAAAAGAGAGUGAUGGUAAAUGUGCAGGUAUCGACGGUACCUAACAAGAAAGCCCCGGCUAACUACGUG
This 512-nucleotide ribosomal RNA is filed under the name uncultured bacterium. RNAcentral describes it as "partial 16S ribosomal RNA". It matches the Rfam family "Bacterial small subunit ribosomal RNA", at positions 28 to 507 of the family's 1533-position model. The record is from RNAcentral.